GGACUCAGGGUGCAUUUUGCAGGCUGUGUUCUUACACUGACUGUAUAGGAAAAAGAGACAGAGCAUACACACCCCAGCCUGGGUUCUGUGCCUGGUCUAUAAUGUGAAUGGAGAGACAUGG
RNAcentral lists this small nucleolar RNA (121 nucleotides) under Sciurus vulgaris (Eurasian red squirrel). RNAcentral describes it as "Small nucleolar RNA SNORA51 (ENSSVLG00005006956.1)". It matches the Rfam family "Small nucleolar RNA SNORA51". From Rfam's summary of the family: ACA51 is a member of the H/ACA class of snoRNA that guide the sites of modification of uridines to pseudouridines. The record is from Rfam by way of RNAcentral. Lineage: Eukaryota; Metazoa; Chordata; Mammalia; Rodentia; Sciuridae.